UACGAAGGGGGCUAGCGUUGCUCGGAAUCACUGGGCGUAAAGCGCACGUAGGCGGAUCUUUAAGUCAGGGGUGAAAUCCCAAGGCUCAACCUCGGAACUGCCUUUGAUACUGGGGAUCUCGAGUCCGGAAGAGGUGAGUGGAACUGCGAGUGUAGAGGUGAAAUUCGUAGAUAUUCGCAAGAACACCAGUGGCGAAGGCGGCUCACUGGUCCGGUACUGACGCUGAGGUGCGAAAGCGUGGGGAGCAAACAGG
RNAcentral lists this ribosomal RNA (253 nucleotides) under uncultured bacterium. RNAcentral's name for it is "partial 16S ribosomal RNA". It matches the Rfam family "Bacterial small subunit ribosomal RNA", at positions 524 to 776 of the family's 1533-position model. The record is from RNAcentral.